This 769-nucleotide ribosomal RNA is filed under the name uncultured eukaryote. RNAcentral describes it as "SSU rRNA". It matches the Rfam family "Eukaryotic small subunit ribosomal RNA", at positions 1031 to 1828 of the family's 1831-position model. The record is from RNAcentral.
GGACGAUGACACCAGCGAUUAAUCGGCGUUAAUUUAUGACCCGAUUAGCAGCUUCCGGGAAACCAAAGUUUUUCGUUUCCGGGGGAAGUAUGGUUGCAAAGCUGAAACUUAAAGGAAUUGACGGAAGGGCACCACCAGGAGUGGAGCCUGCGGCUUAAUUUGACUCAACACGGGAAAACUCACCCGGCCCGGACACCGUAAGGAUUGACAGACUGAGAGCUCUUUCUUAAUUCGGUGGGUGGUGGUGCAUGGCCGUUCUUAGUUGGUGGAGCGAUUUGUCUGGUUAAUUCCGAUAACGAACGAGACUCUGGCCUAUUAAAUAGACGAUAUAUUUAAAAGUAUAUCGCGCUUCUUAGAGGGACAAGCGGCGUCUAGCCGCAUGAAAUAGAGCAAUAACAGGUCUGUGAUGCCCUUAGAUGUCCGGGGCUGCACGCGCGCUACACUGAAAGAAUCAGAGUGCGUUUUGCCUAGUUCGGAAGAACCGGGUAACCCAAGUAAAUUCUUUCGUGCUUGGGAUAGGGAAUUGCAAUUAUUUCCCUUAAACGAGGAAUUCCCAGUAAAUGCGGGUCAUAAGCUCGCGUUGAUUACGUCCCUGCCCUUUGUACACACCGCCCGUCGCUACUACCGAUUGGAUGACUUAGUGAGGUCUUAGGACCGAGGUAAAGGUGCACGAAAGUGUGCUUUUUCUUUGGAAAUUUGAUCGAACUACGUUAUCUAGAGGAAGUAAAAGUCGUAACAAGGUUUCCGUAGUGAACCUGCGGAAGGAUCA